UGAAAAGUGCAUAAAGAAUAACAACUGGACAACAUUGAAGAUCAAGUCAAUUUGUGGAAGCAGUUAAGCAAAUAUGUAUGAAAUUCAAUCCGAAGAAGCCGAGGCCAAUAAAUUGAAUUCUCCAUGCUAGUGCAAACAAAGAAGAAAUUUAAAGCUAAAGUGGCCUGCACGUGAGAAGCAAUUGCAUGGCAUUACAAAAAGAAUGAAAAUUUCAAGUGGGCUCCACGUGCAUGGGCUCAAAGUCGGUUGUGCUUGGCUUGUUUUAAAUCCUUUUGAUUUGAGGAUUUUGGAGGGUGUUACAAUAUAAAAGCCGAACUUUGGCUUUUGC
Molecule: long non-coding RNA, 328 nt
Filed under: Citrus maxima (pomelo)
Lineage: Eukaryota; Viridiplantae; Streptophyta; Magnoliopsida; Sapindales; Rutaceae
Description: long non-coding RNA (CMAX_LNC003856)
Source: RNAcentral